UUCGAUAAAGAAUUUCGUAACAGCUGAUCGAUUUGACUUGGAACUGUAUUAAGCAGACUGGUCUCGGGUCCAAGACCUAUACACAAAACAAGGUUUGAACCAAAGAUUAUGACGACGUCACAAACAGCGUGGUCAAUCGUGCUCCGAUUAUUUUUACUACUAACUGUAGCCUCUCUACUCAUACCAUCCGCCCGAGGAUACGUUCUGCCAAAUUUAGACACAGUCCCAGAGGAAUCGAUGCUUCCGGAGGUUCAAGACAGUGACUACAAAGCCAACAGAGUAGCCGACAAAAUAGUACAAGUUUUAUUAGAAUCCAGAAAGGUCCACCACAGGGUUAAAAGACCGAGUAAGCACCAUUCCCCUUCAUCUCGUUAUCAAUUUAAACCGAGUAUAGCCGGACUUGACAACAUCGAUGUUGCUAUAAGUACUUUAGAAAGAGCUAGAGGAAGUCGGCAUCGUGAACCCGUGCUUGCUCUGGGAGGUAUGAGUUUUGCAGAUUUCAGGAAACUUUUUGAAAGCGGAAAACGAAGAUAACAUAGACUUCCGGACGAUGCGAAUUGGGUUCGUCUUCUAACCUUACUUCGCGGAUGAUAUAAAAGAGACUGGUUGGAGAGUAAUUUAUUUUCGUACCAUAUUUUAUCAGUGAGACCCUCAGAUAAAGUAUUUGUAUAUUUUGCUCUUUCACUAUAUUUAUUAAGUUAUUCACUUUAUGUAAGCACAAUUGAACCCAAGACAUGUAAUAUCUCAAUAUUAUAUAGACGAUGGCGCAGUAUGCCAUUGUGAGAAACAUUCCUGCAGUUUUGAACAAUUUUUCGUAUCAUAUCAACGCCAGCAUGUAUGCCGUAUGCGCACGUCCAGGAACACCUACAUUUAGAAGAAGAGGCCCACCUCUCCUACAUCCUGCUGCACCCGACAGUUUCUCAUAGGAAACAAACUGACACUUAUCUCUUUACUGAAAGGUUCAAUUGUUUAAUGUGAAAGUCCCAUGAUUUGACAAAUACUGAACAGAUCAAGAUUCAAGCGCAAUUAGUUGAACCAAAUCCCAAAGGAGAAAUGACUCUGGUAUAGCAAAAACCAAAGAAUAGCUAUUCCGAAUGCUUGACUCGGUCAAACCGAUACAAUAGUGCUUGCACAAGUAUGCGAAGUACUUUUACCACUUGCUGGUCAUGAACUGAUCUACCCAAAGAUACUUAAGUCGAGCUUUAGUUCAUGUUUUAGUUUGUUUUGCGUUUUAUUUAUAGUAGGCUAAGCCUUAUUGUGUCAUAUUGAGGAGUAAAGGUACUCCAAAUUUCAGUCCCAGUUUUAGAUGAAGCCAGGGUUGCCUGAGCAUUGUUAUGUACAAAACGUUUGUAUAUAUAAGAUGUGCAUUGAAAAUAUAGAA
This 1381-nucleotide unclassified non-coding RNA is filed under the name Lingula anatina. RNAcentral's name for it is "uncharacterized LOC106163843, transcript variant X3". The record is from RNAcentral. Lineage: Eukaryota; Metazoa; Brachiopoda; Lingulata; Lingulida; Lingulidae.